UACGUAGGGUGCAAGCGUUAAUCGGAAUUACUGGGCGUAAAGCGUGCGCAGGCGGUUUUGUAAGUUUGUCGUGAAAGCCCCGGGCUCAACCUGGGAAUUGCGAUGAAGACUGCAAGGCUUGAAUCUGGCAGAGGGGGGUAGAAUUCCACGUGUAGCAGUGAAAUGCAUAGAGAUGUGGAGGAACACCGAUGGCGAAGGCAGCCCCCUGGGUCAAGAUUGACGCUCAUGCACGAAAGCGUGGGGAGCAAACAGG
This 253-nucleotide ribosomal RNA is filed under the name uncultured bacterium. RNAcentral's name for it is "partial 16S ribosomal RNA". It matches the Rfam family "Bacterial small subunit ribosomal RNA", at positions 524 to 776 of the family's 1533-position model. The record is from RNAcentral.